UACGUAGGUGGCGAGCGUUAUCCGGAAUUACUGGGUGUAAAGGGUGUGUAGGCGGGAUUGCAAGUCAGGCGUGAAAUGGGACGGCUCAACCAUCCAGCUGCGCUUGAAACUGUAAUUCUUGAGAGUGGGAGAGGUAAACGGAAUUCCUGGUGUAGUAGUGAGAUGCGUAGAUAUCAGGAGGAACACCGGUGGCGAAGGCGGUUUACUGGACCACAACUGACGCUGAGACACGAAAGCGUGGGGAGCAAAC
This 250-nucleotide ribosomal RNA is filed under the name uncultured prokaryote. RNAcentral describes it as "partial 16S ribosomal RNA". It matches the Rfam family "Bacterial small subunit ribosomal RNA", at positions 524 to 773 of the family's 1533-position model. The record is from RNAcentral.